GAGGGUAUAGCUCAGUGUCAGGGUGCAUGCUUAAGAUGUACGAGGUCCUGGGUUCAAUCCCCAGCACCUCUA
This 72-nucleotide transfer RNA is filed under the name Camelus ferus (Wild Bactrian camel). It matches the Rfam family "tRNA". Rfam says of the family: Transfer RNA (tRNA) molecules are approximately 80 nucleotides in length. Lineage: Eukaryota; Metazoa; Chordata; Mammalia; Artiodactyla; Camelidae. The record is from Rfam by way of RNAcentral.